AAUAGAUACCCCGGUAGUCCACGCCGUAAACGAUGAGUGCUAAGUGUUAGAGGGUUUCCGCCCUUUAGUGCUGCAGCAAACGCAUUAAGCACUCCGCCUGGGGAGUACGGCCGCAAGGCUGAAACUCAAAGGAAUUGACGGGGACCCGCACAAGCGGUGGAGCAUGUGGUUUAAUUCAAAGCAACGCGAAGAACCUUACCAGGUCUUGACAUCCUCUGACCAUCCUAGAGAUAGGACCUUCCCCUUCGGGGGACAGAGUGACAGGUGGUGCAUGGUUGUCGUCAGCUCGUGUCGUGAGAUGUUGGGUUAAGUCCCGCAACGAGCGCAACCCUUGUUCUUAGUUGCCAGCAUUCAGUUGGGCACUCUAAGGAGACUGCCGGUGACAAACCGGAGGAAGGUGGGGAUGACGUCAAAUCAUCAUGCCCCUUAUGACCUGGGCUACACACGUGCUACAAUGGAUGGUACAAAGGGCUGCGAAGCCGCGAGGUGGAGCCAAUCCCAUAAAACCCAUUCUCAGUUCGGAUUGCAGGC
RNAcentral lists this ribosomal RNA (531 nucleotides) under uncultured bacterium. Its description in RNAcentral is "bacterial SSU rRNA". It matches the Rfam family "Bacterial small subunit ribosomal RNA", at positions 777 to 1305 of the family's 1533-position model. The record is from RNAcentral.